CGGCAGCCCGAGUGGUGAUCACUAUUAUUGGGUCUAAAGGGUCCGUAGCCGGUUUGAUCAGUCUUUUGGGAAAUCUGACAGCUUAACUGUUAGGCUUCCAAAGGAUACUGUCAGACUUGGGACCGGGAGAGGUAAGAGGUACUACAGGGGUAGGAGUGAAAUCUUGUAAUCCCUGUGGGACCACCAGUGGCGAAGGCGUCUUACCAGAACGGGUCCGACGGUGAGGGACGAAAGCUGGGGGCACGAACCGGAUUAGAUACCCGAGUAGUCC
Molecule: ribosomal RNA, 271 nt
Filed under: uncultured archaeon
Lineage: Archaea
Description: partial 16S ribosomal RNA
Rfam family: Archaeal small subunit ribosomal RNA
Source: RNAcentral